AGUGAACGCUGGCGGUAGGCCUAACACAUGCAAGUCGAACGGCAGCACAGUAAGAGCUUGCUCUUACGGGUGGCGAGUGGCGGACGGGUGAGGAAUACAUCGGAAUCUACUUUUUCGUGGGGGAUAACGUAGGGAAACUUACGCUAAUACCGCAUACGACCUACGGGUGAAAGCAGGGGAUCUUCGGACCUUGCGCGAUUGAAUGAGCCGAUGUCGGAUUAGCUAGUUGGCGGGGUAAAGGCCCACCAAGGCGACGAUCCGUAGCUGGUCUGAGAGGAUGAUCAGCCACACUGGAACUGGGACACGGUCCAGACUCCUACGGGAGGCAGCAGUGGGGAAUAUUGGACAAUGGGCGCAAGCCUGAUCCGGCCAUACCGCGUGGGUGAAGAAGGCCUUCGGGUUGUAAAGCCCCUUUGUUGGGAAAGAAAAGCAGCAGGUUAAUACCCCGCUGUUCUGACGGUACCCAAAGAAUAAGCACCGGCUAACUUCGUG
This 492-nucleotide ribosomal RNA is filed under the name uncultured bacterium. RNAcentral's name for it is "partial 16S ribosomal RNA". It matches the Rfam family "Bacterial small subunit ribosomal RNA", at positions 29 to 507 of the family's 1533-position model. The record is from RNAcentral.